RNAcentral lists this long non-coding RNA (1107 nucleotides) under Fragaria vesca (wild strawberry). RNAcentral describes it as "long non-coding RNA (FVES_LNC005276)". Lineage: Eukaryota; Viridiplantae; Streptophyta; Magnoliopsida; Rosales; Rosaceae. The record is from RNAcentral.
UGUGUGCCUUGGCCUUAUGCCAAUAGGAUAUGUAGUUAGACUAGAUCUAUGUAUUCAUAUCCUUACCAUAUUGGUAUUGUGUAAUUCCCUAUAUAAAGGGCUCCUAUCAAUGAAUAAGAUGACUCUCUUGCUAUCUCUUUGUCUCUACACUUUAUUCUUCAUCACGUUAUCAUGCACUUUGUUCUAACCCUAGAGCCAAUAGCCCACCAUUUUUUUUCCAAACCCUAAAAACCAAAACCCUAAAAUCGGGCAGCCUUGUUUUUCCCGAUUUCUGACCAAAAUUCCGACUGCCCUCCGCCGGACUUUUAUAUCCCCAGAAAGCUCUUUCCGUCACGGAUCCAACGCCGCCGGCCUCACCCUGAGAACCGGCCGGAAAGUCUCCGAACCGGCCGCCGGAAAAUUCCAGACCGCCGCCGCUACCGACCACCGGUUCACCACCUUCCCUUGCUCCGAUCAACCUGAAAUUUUGACAGAAGCUUCCCCAUCCAGAGCUGCUCCUCCUGUCAAAUUUUCAGCCCCAAAUUCGAAGUAUAAGUAGGCGAAACGUUAUUUCUCCUCUCGGCAGCCUUUAGAAAGGUAUGUUUUGAAACCUUAAACUCUUCCAAGUUCAAUAACUCGGGGAGGAUAAAAUCCUUUCCUCCCUUCUCCAUCUCCAUUCUAUGCUUGGGAUUUUGUGUGUGCAGGUACCAAAAAUCCCGGAAUUUUAUUCGCGGGUCAAAAGUAUGUUGGAUCACUCUUGUUUCUUUGUCCGGGUUGUGUUUGAUCAACCCCGACCUUUCACCGGAUUGUGUUUGAUCAAUCCGAGGCCUUUUUCCGAAUUGUGUUUGAUCAAUUCGCGGCUUUUCCGGAUUGUGUAUGAUCAAUCCGAAGGACAAACCAUUAAAAGCAUCGUUUGUAACCUCUAUCGAGUCUCAUAACAGCUUGGUUUUGUAUGCAAGAGCAAUGUAACAUUCUGCUCCUUUGAGUUUUGAUGUACUAGAUGCCUAAGGCGGAUCUUCGCUUGGUAUCUGUGGAACCUUUCAUUGGAAAGGAUUAAACCACAUGUUUUGACCCCCAGGCUAACAAGCCUAAAUGCCGAGAUUUCACAUCUCAUGCGCUCAAAGUUUU